This 388-nucleotide ribosomal RNA is filed under the name uncultured bacterium. RNAcentral describes it as "bacterial SSU rRNA". It matches the Rfam family "Bacterial small subunit ribosomal RNA", at positions 28 to 417 of the family's 1533-position model. The record is from RNAcentral.
GACGAACGCUGGCGGCGUGCUUAACACAUGCAAGUCGAGCGGUAAGGCCCUUUCGGGGGUACACGAGCGGCGAACGGGUGAGUAACACGUGGGUGACCUGCCCUCAGCUCUGGGAUAAGCCUGGGAAACCGGGUCUAAUACUGGAUAUGACUCCAUGACGCAUGUUGUGGGGUGGAAAGCCUUGUGCGGCUGAGGAUGGGCCCGCGGCCUAUCAGCUUGUUGGUGGGGUGAUGGCCUACCAAGGCGACGACGGGUAGCCGGCCUGAGAGGGCGACCGGCCACACUGGGACUGAGACACGGCCCAGACUCCUACGGGAGGCAGCAGUGGGGAAUCUUGCGCAAUGGGCGAAAGCCUGACGCAGCGACGCCGCGUGAGGGAUGAUGGCCU